RNAcentral lists this long non-coding RNA (366 nucleotides) under Zonotrichia albicollis (white-throated sparrow). RNAcentral's name for it is "lncRNA (ENSZALG00000013652.1)". The record is from RNAcentral. Lineage: Eukaryota; Metazoa; Chordata; Aves; Passeriformes; Passerellidae.
AAGGGAGAGAGCAUUCACUACUGAGUUGGCAAGGUUUUACAGAAUGGUUUUUGUCAUCCCUACAGGUAAAACAUGAAGAGGUGGCCAAAGGUGUCCAUAAACAAAAAGUUGGUUAAGAAGGUUGGACUACAGCUGCCCUGAAAGCUCUUCCAUUAAAAGCAAAUCCAUCUCAUUGCCCAUAUGAGGCAGAAGAUCACGAAGAAGUAGCUGGAUCCUUACAUGACACCCCAGUGAGCCUUGGGAGGAAAGAUUUCACCAUGGUAGAAAAUAAGCCAACCAUCCUAUUCCAUCAACAAUAGUGCCUCUGUGUUUUAUAAACAUAAAAAGCAGCGUCUUAUAAAUAGGGAUUAUAAAAGAAACAUCUCU